GGGACUUUUCCGAGGCUUUAUUUAGGCUAGCUCCAUCAGCGAAGCAUCUCUGCUGCACGUAUUUUGAGUAACUUGGAGGUUGUUGGGAGUCCAUUCGUGAUUUGCGUCCAACAUACUGUUCUCGAGGUUUUUGGGUGUUAAACAUUCUACAGGGAUUGUUAGAUUCUGCGGUUUGGGAAGUAAUUUUCUCAGCCCUCCCUUGUAUUCAUGUUUAAACAUUGCCUUGAAUACUUGUGUUGCAUUGGGUUUCCAGGUGGAACGCAAAACAUAUACACAGCAGGCAACUCAAGAAUCCUUGGGGGUCGCGAUACCGAUUUUAACGUCAACAAAUCCAAAUUAAAAUUCACCAGGCAGUCUUGGUUGCCAGUGGAACUCUGAUGUGAGCAAGGAACCUCAGCCAAUAUUCUUCCUGAGCUGUCACGGUAUUUCAGAGCCAAGGUACUAAAGCCCUCUUCUGACUGCUGACACAUCUGUCAUCAGCUGUCCUCUGCAGGCAAAGGAACUGCGAUGCAAAGGUAUGGAGGGGAGACAGUGGGAUGAGUUCAGGAAACUACAAUUAAUUCAGUGUGGCUAGCAUAGA
RNAcentral lists this long non-coding RNA (580 nucleotides) under Mustela putorius furo (domestic ferret). Its description in RNAcentral is "lncRNA (ENSMPUG00000028130.1)". Lineage: Eukaryota; Metazoa; Chordata; Mammalia; Carnivora; Mustelidae. The record is from RNAcentral.